GCUAUUAUUUAGGCUUCUGGAACAAUCUGAAGAGGAUCUAGCUUUAUUCAUAGCUUGGUGCUACUGUUCAUGGAUAGCAAUGCCUGUUGCAUUUGAAUUUAACCUGAAGCCAUUGCAUUAUGAUGCUGAGAAAACAAUGAAAGAGAUUAGUAUUCUGGACAGCACUGGGUUUGCUAUGUUUUGGUAAAUGGGUAUUAGUUGGGUUGUUUGUUGCCAUUUUCUUCACCGAGGCAAGAGCUAAAUGCCAUCUUCAGUUCUGUAUCCAUUUGCAGCUUUUUAUAUCAUCUUCCUAGCAUACGUUAUCUGAGAGUGAGUUUUCAACUUGAUCUCAUCUCAGAACUCUUCAGGACCAUCUCUGGAUCCUUGAGCACACUGCCUUUUACUGCAAGACACAGUUCCUGUUUUAAGGAGUUUAUAGUUUCUGUGGGGAGAUAAGACAAGUGCAUGGAUAUUAGAUAGAAUGCAUUAAAUGUCAGGAACAAGGAAAAUGGCCUAAUGUGCAAUGGGAACUCAGAGGUGAGAAAAAUGUUUUUCUGCUCAUUUCUUUGUGUCUGAAACCCCAUUUGGAAUUGAAGUAUAUGUCUUGUAGUACAGGAGGGACAUGUCUUCAUACAGCAACCUUAUUUUGAUGGUAUUUAAUCCUUAUUCUUUGGCCAUUUGGGAUUCCAUGGAGUCUUUGGAGUGAAGCAGACAGUUAAUUUGUAUUUUCACAUAGUAACUGUUCUUAAGGUAUUUUAGAAAAAAAAAUAAGGCAGAU
This 757-nucleotide long non-coding RNA is filed under the name Sus scrofa (pig). RNAcentral's name for it is "lncRNA (ENSSSCG00035010677.1, ENSSSCG00050060700.1)". The record is from RNAcentral. Lineage: Eukaryota; Metazoa; Chordata; Mammalia; Artiodactyla; Suidae.